Molecule: ribosomal RNA, 253 nt
Filed under: uncultured bacterium
Lineage: Bacteria
Description: partial 16S ribosomal RNA
Rfam family: Bacterial small subunit ribosomal RNA
Source: RNAcentral
UACGUAGGUGGCAAGCGUUGUCCGGAUUUACUGGGCGUAAAGGGCGUGCAGGCGGUUUGUUAAGUGCAGAGUGAAAGCUCCCGGCUCAACUGGGAGAGGUCUUUGCAUACUGGCAAACUCGAGGGAGGCAGAGGAAAGUGGAAUUCCCGGUGUAGUGGUGAUAUGCGUAGAUAUCGGGAGGAACACCGGUGGCGAAGGCGGCAUCCUGGACCGACACUGACGCUGAGGAGCGAAAGCCAGGGGAGCAAACGGG